CUUCAAAAAUAGCAUCACUUAAAUCUUUUCCUGGUUAUUCAAUGCAGCAUUAAUACAUAGGGUGACGAGCUGGCCUUGCCUCUCCUGUGCUAGGGAAUGGGCUUCAGGGGAACACAACCAUCUCCUCUCCCUAAGGAUGAGUGAAGCUCCUGAGCUCCUCCUGCCCACAUUUGUGUCACCACAGAAGGGCUAUGAGACGUGCGCACUGACAGCAGGGAAACGUUUGCAGCUCUCAUGCUAUGAAUCCCCUCGGUUGGAGGCUCCCCAUCACCCCAAGGUUCUCUGCUCCAGGGCUCCUGUUGAUUUUCCACACCCAACCUGAUUUGCUCUUGCUGCAAUUUAAACCUGUGACAUCUUGUCCCUCCCGCUGCGGCUAUGGAGAACAGGCUGUUCCCUUCCUCCUGAAGGUUAUCUUUUAAAGGCCUUAAGGACUUAGCGGUUAAGCUGGGGGAGAGACAAGGCUAACACCCCUCCACUGCUAUUUCUCAGGCUAAAGAAGGCAAGAGACCAUUCCUCCCAUGGUGCAGAGCUGUCGCCAUGUCACAACAGCAGCACUGCCCCACACCUGCCACCACCCCAGGUGCUUUCUGGAGGAAAGGCCACUCCUCGAUCCCCUCUCACCCUGCAUUUGAGCAGUCUGUGCCUCCCGCUGAAAUGCAGCGCCCUGCUGUUGUCCCCAGUUUAAUUUUCACCUCCAGAUUUGGUGCCGUUUCCCAUUUCAUCCAACUUGUCUGAAUUAUUUUGAAUUCCAGCCUUGUCUCCAAAAUGUCCUUGCCAUCCCUCCCUGAUCACUCUUGUCUGCAUGCAUAAUCAACCUCCUCCUUCAUCUGUCACCCGUGUCUUCAGUGCAAACACACGAUGGAGCAGGAGCCAGGAGGACGUGCUACCCACCCAUCCAUCUGAUCCAUGGGGACAGCAGCCCCACGGGGACCUUCCAGGGGUCACAGCUGUUUUACUGCGUGCUCUUUAACCGAGGAGCCCCAAAAGGAAGGGACAGAGCUCAUAAGCCCGGGAUGGUGGUUGCAGUGCAGCCCCCAUUACGGCACGUGGCUGAGGAGGUGACGAGAGUGAUGGAGGCCGAGUGCUGGGCUGCAGAGCUCAGGGGACGAGCGGCAGCUGUUGUGUGGCAGCUGGCAGCAGUGCACUGGGGAGCUGGGCUGUGUGUCUGUGCAGGUGAGCUGGGAGAGGAACACUGAGCAUCCCAAACGUCCCAAAGAUCUG
This 1221-nucleotide long non-coding RNA is filed under the name Numida meleagris (helmeted guineafowl). Its description in RNAcentral is "lncRNA (ENSNMEG00000009061.1)". The record is from RNAcentral. Lineage: Eukaryota; Metazoa; Chordata; Aves; Galliformes; Numididae.